This 490-nucleotide ribosomal RNA is filed under the name uncultured bacterium. Its description in RNAcentral is "partial 16S ribosomal RNA". It matches the Rfam family "Bacterial small subunit ribosomal RNA", at positions 30 to 507 of the family's 1533-position model. The record is from RNAcentral.
AUUGAACGCUGGCGGCAGGCCUAACACAUGCAAGUCGAACGGUAACAGGAAGAAGCUUGCUUCUUUGCUGACGAGUGGCGGACGGGUGAGUAAUGUCUGGGAAACUGCCUGAUGGAGGGGGAUAACUACUGGAAACGGUAGCUAAUACCGCAUAACGUCGCAAGACCAAAGAGGGGGACCUUCGGGCCUCUUGCCAUCGGAUGUGCCCAGAUGGGAUUAGCUAGUAGGUGGGGUAACGGCCCACCUAGGCGACGAUCCCUAGCUGGUCUGAGAGGAUGACCAGCCACCCUGGAACUGAGACACGGUCCAGACUCCUACGGGAGGCAGCAGUGGGGAAUAUUGCACAAUGGGCGCAAGCCUGAUGCAGCCAUGCCGCGUGUAUGAAGAAGGCCUUCGGGUUGUAAAGUACUUUCAGCGGGGAGGAAGGGAGUAAAGUUAAUACCUUUACUCAUUGACGUUACCCGCAGAAGAAGCACCGGCUAACUCCGUG